AUCCUUUGAAUCCGUGCCAAGUCUUAUAAGUGGUGAAUUGGUGCAGCGGAAAAGUACUUUGAAAACAUCCAGUGUUUCAAGCUCUUACCGAUUCUACAACCUGCAGACAGAAAUAUAAGGGUCAAUAACAGCAAAGCCCUUUGUGCAAUGAAGUGUAUGGUGACUGUCCUGAAGACAAAGCAGUGGUAGAGGCUGCAAGUUUCAAACAGAACAACAAACUGGCCGAAUUCAAGGGUAUGGGGAUGUUUCAAAAGCAAAGACAACGAUCUAACAAGAUUACAAUAGAUUGUAUAAUUUUAUUGUUCUCCAGAAACAUUGAGAAGAUAAGUGUAUGUUACUUAAAAAGAAAACAUUGCUGGUUCACACAAACGUUCCCUAUUAAAUGAUUUUGAGAGGUAAUUUGAUGCAAAUAGAACAUGACAUUUAGAACUGUU
This is a long non-coding RNA of Mercenaria mercenaria, 434 nucleotides long. RefSeq lists it as uncharacterized. Lineage: Eukaryota; Metazoa; Mollusca; Bivalvia; Venerida; Veneridae. The record is from RefSeq and is a predicted model, not a curated record. The transcript has 2 exons.